GAUGAACGCUAGCGACAGGCUUAACACAUGCAAGUCGAGGGGCAGCACGAUGUAGCAAUACAUUGGUGGCGACCGGCGCACGGGUGAGUAACGCGUAUGCAACCUACCUAUCAGAGGGGAAUAACCCGGCGAAAGUCGGACUAAUACCGCAUAAAACAGGGGUUCCACAUGGAAAUAUUUGUUAAAGAUUUACCGCUGAUAGAUGGGCAUGCGUUCCAUUAGAUAGUUGGUGAGGUAACGGCUCACCAAGUCUACGAUGGAUAGGGGUUCUGAGAGGAAGGUCCCCCACACUGGUACUGAGACACGGACCAGACUCCUACGGGAGGCAGCAGUGAGGAAUAUUGGUCAAUGGGCGAGAGCCUGAACCAGCCAAGUCGCGUGAAGGAUGAAGGAUCUAUGGUUUGUAAACUUCUUUUAUAUGGGAAUAAAGUGAGGAACGUGUUCCUUUUUGUAUGUACCAUAUGAAUAAGCAUCGGCUAACUCCGUGCCAGCAGCCGCAGUAA
Molecule: ribosomal RNA, 503 nt
Filed under: uncultured bacterium
Lineage: Bacteria
Description: partial 16S ribosomal RNA
Rfam family: Bacterial small subunit ribosomal RNA
Source: RNAcentral